GUUCAUCUAGCGAGUCCCAAAUAGGAUGAAACGCGCGUCCUGAAU
Molecule: non-coding RNA, 45 nt
Organism: Schistosoma haematobium
Lineage: Eukaryota; Metazoa; Platyhelminthes; Trematoda; Strigeidida; Schistosomatidae
Source: Rfam